UCACUCUCUUUCUAGCUUUUGAGAGGGAAGGACUUGGCUGCCUGGGAGCUGAGCAGGGACCUGUAGUAUGGCAGUGCUGGGGGAGAGGCAAGAGGGGCUGGGGAGCUCCAGCCUGAUAGCCCCCCAGACUGCAGGGCCUUGUGUGGGACCUAAACCAGGUGCUGAGGCGGCCUGGGGCUAGGCAGAGGCAGCAGUUCCUACCCCUGGCUUGCCAAUGAUGAGUGGCCAUUACAGGCUGCAGUUGACCCUAGUGAUUGGGGGCUAAAUGAUGACUGGCAGUAGGCCCAGAGGCAAGGUGGGAUUAGGGGGUUGGGGUUCCCUGGGGAGGGGAGACCCAGAGACUGAGGGGAUACUCCUGGGGCAGAACCCCCAGACAAAGCUGCACCAGGGUCCGGAAGAGACACAGGGACCAAUGGUGGCAAUGACAGUGGCCUGCAGAGGGUGCUCCAGAGCUGGAAAUGAGCUAAUUCCCAGACAGCCAGUAGGAGGUGCCGCAGGGCUCACCUGAUCCUGAUCAAUAACCCAUUGGGGAACCUUCCAGUGGGACCAACUUUUAAUUUAUCUCCCAAUUUCCUCUCUGGAGACCAGGCAUCAGAUCUAAUUACUGUGCCUGUUUGCUGCAUUUUCACCGCCCACAUUUUCUUCUCCUCCUGAGCAUCUGGAGGAUAUUAUACUUCCUGACGGGGAAGCAAAGUUUCAACAAUGCAAAGGAAAGGCUUAAUUCAGGCCCUGUGGAUGCAAGGUGCAAAACACUCCGCCCUUCCAGAGAAAGGGCAGAGAGUGUGCGAGCAUGAGAGAACUAUUCAUUGGAGAGGCAACAGCACGCUCGGACCAACAAAUGUGACAGGGACACAAGGAUGGAGGAGACAGGUGGCUGGAAGGAUGAGCUGACAAAUUGAAUGCAGAGUCUAAUGCAUGGGACAAGUGAACAAAGGAAAGAAAGCAAGAAUGAAUCACAUUAACUGCGAUUCCAUAAACAGAGAUCAUGAGUCCUCCCUCUGUUUAAUAGCCAUAGGCUUGGAUUUCCAAAACAUCCUCAGCCACUGAAAUUCAAGGGGAAUUGGGAACCUAAGCUUCUUUGAAUAUCCUUUGCU
Dermochelys coriacea (leatherback sea turtle) is the source of this 1094-nucleotide long non-coding RNA. RefSeq lists it as uncharacterized. The record is from RefSeq and is a predicted model, not a curated record. The transcript has 2 exons. Lineage: Eukaryota; Metazoa; Chordata; Testudines; Dermochelyidae.